Molecule: non-coding RNA, 80 nt
Organism: Podospora appendiculata
Lineage: Eukaryota; Fungi; Ascomycota; Sordariomycetes; Sordariales; Podosporaceae
Source: the annotation of a GenBank genome assembly
GGCCCGCUGGCCAAAUGGUAAGGCGCCACAUUUCGGAUUCAGUUCUGUGGAGAUUAUGCGUUCGAGCCGCAUGUGGGUCG